Molecule: long non-coding RNA, 235 nt
Organism: Lolium rigidum
Lineage: Eukaryota; Viridiplantae; Streptophyta; Magnoliopsida; Poales; Poaceae
Exons: 2
Source: RefSeq, a predicted model, not a curated record
CUCGCGUCCCGGCCGUGCGACAACCUCGAUGUCUGGAUUUCUUUCGUCGAUUGAAAGUGUGAAACGAAUCCAGAGAUCAGCCGUGAGUUCGCUCUUUUGCAUAUGAAGCAAGAGGAAGGAAAUCCUGGCGGGGAAGAACUAGGAGGCAGCCACAGUCAUUUGUCAUGCUUGUUUUGGAGAACAAAUCUGAUUAGGUCUUCGUCUUAUCUACAGAAAAAAUUAAGAAUUUGUUGUC